UCGAGCGGAUGAUGGGAAGCUUGCUCCUGGAUUCAGCGGCGGACGGGUGAGUAAUGCCUAGGAAUCUGCCUGGUAGUGGGGGACAACGUUUCGAAAGGAACGCUAAUACCGCAUACGUCCUACGGGAGAAAGCAGGGGACCUUCGGGCCUUGCGCUAUCAGAUGAGCCUAGGUCGGAUUAGCUAGUUGGUGGGGUAAAGGCCUACCAAGGCGACGAUCCGUAACUGGUCUGAGAGGAUGAUCAGUCACACUGGAACUGAGACACGGUCCAGACUCCUACGGGAGGCAGCAGUGGGGAAUAUUGGACAAUGGGCGAAAGCCUGAUCCAGCCAUGCCGCGUGUGUGAAGAAGGUCUUCGGAUUGUAAAGCACUUUAAGUUGGGAGGAAGGGCAGUAAGCUAAUAUCUUGCUGUUUUGACGUUACCAACAGAAUAAGCACCGGCUAACUUCGUGCCAGCAGCCGCGGUAAUACGAAGGGUGCAAGCGUUAAUCGGAAUUACUGGGCGUAAAGCGCGCGUAGGUGGUUUGGUAAGAUGGAUGUGAAAUCCCCGGGCUCAACCUGGGAACUGCAUCCAUAACUGCCUGACUAGAGUACGGUAGAGGGUGGUGGAAUUUCCUGUGUAGCGGUGAAAUGCGUAGAUAUAG
This 643-nucleotide ribosomal RNA is filed under the name Pseudomonas sp. RNAcentral describes it as "bacterial SSU rRNA". It matches the Rfam family "Bacterial small subunit ribosomal RNA", at positions 62 to 699 of the family's 1533-position model. Lineage: Bacteria; Pseudomonadati; Pseudomonadota; Gammaproteobacteria; Pseudomonadales; Pseudomonadaceae. The record is from RNAcentral.